AAAGUCGUAACAAGGUAACCGUAGGUGAACCUGCGGUUGGAUCAUUAUUGAAUUACAUUUGGUGACAAUUGAAUUAGCGUUUGAUUGGAACCAUAUUGUCAACCCCCCCUGUGAAUGUUGCCUGUAUUUUGGCAGCCCUCCUUGAUUUAUCAUGGUUGAGGAAUCGAACAGUUGACCUUGUGUCCGCUAUUUGCUACUUCAUUUUGAAUCGGCGAUUGAAAUAAGAACUUGAUUGCCUUUUCUUAUGGGCUCGUCCGCUUGUAUCCACACUUGUGUUUUUAUUAUAAAUCCUAGUCUCCAUUAGGUUCAUUUUGUGAAUCUUGUAAUUAUUAAUUUAAUAAACAACUUUUGACAACGGAUCUCUUGGCUCUC
Molecule: unclassified non-coding RNA, 372 nt
Filed under: Chytridiomycota sp.
Lineage: Eukaryota; Fungi; Chytridiomycota
Description: partial contains small subunit ribosomal RNA, internal transcribed spacer 1, and 5.8S ribosomal RNA
Rfam family: Eukaryotic small subunit ribosomal RNA (bases 1-47)
Source: RNAcentral